GCGACCCCAGGAUGGGCGAGGCCACCCGCCGAGUUUAAGC
RNAcentral lists this ribosomal RNA (40 nucleotides) under Dendrobium moschatum. Its description in RNAcentral is "partial 26S ribosomal RNA". The record is from RNAcentral. Lineage: Eukaryota; Viridiplantae; Streptophyta; Magnoliopsida; Asparagales; Orchidaceae.